This 397-nucleotide long non-coding RNA is filed under the name Elaeis guineensis (African oil palm). RNAcentral's name for it is "long non-coding RNA (EGUI_LNC049530)". Lineage: Eukaryota; Viridiplantae; Streptophyta; Magnoliopsida; Arecales; Arecaceae. The record is from RNAcentral.
GCUCGUGCUCUAAGUCUAUCUUCAAUUUUUGACAUCAGCUAUCAAAAUUAGAUCUUCUCAAUUUAUCAUUGUCUAACAGUGAUCGGAGCGACAAGUUGAUGGCCAUAACUGUAAAAGAAAAAUCAAAACUUAAUUAAAAUAUGAAUCAAUUAAGCCUAAAGAUAUGGACUUUAGUCUAAAGGUUCUCCCAUUAUUUUAAGCGAAUUAGUAGCUUCUACCUCCAAUUCGAAGAAUUAUCCUAAUUUCUUAGCAGGUACUAGAAUCCACAUAGUUGCACAUGAGCCUGACUUUAGCCGGCUCAUCUAUGUACAUCUAUGGGUAGGUUCUUAACCAAUUAUUUUAACAAAUAAUUUUUAGUAAUUGAUUUUAUCCCAGGGUCCUAACAGUAGGCUUUGGC